CUAUUUUUUGCAAAAAAAAAAAAAAAACUGGCAGCGAGGAGAGAGAGCCCGGCCGUCGUCUCGUUCGUCUAUGGUAGCGGCCCGUGCUCUGACGCGAAUCGACGACUCCGCGCCCCCGUUGUACAACCCGCUCCCGUUCGUGGUCGGCGUCGCGGAUCCGAUGCGAGUGUGGGCGAUUUUUGCUGCCUGUGCGGCAAAUCUCACGCCAAAUCCCCCUCCAAGCAGGCAAGCACUAUUGAAAUCCUCCCCCAAAUCCCCCGUCGGCCAACCCUAGCAGCAAGAGAAGCGAGCGGCGGCGGCGGCGGCGGCGGCGGCCACACCUUGCAGCAGGAAGCUAGGAACAGAAGCGGGCGGCGGCGGCAGUGCAGGAGCUGCUCAAGGCGAAGGCGCAGCGGGAGCGGAGGGCCAAGGCGGCGGCGCAGAAGCGGAAGCCCACUGGGGUGCUGCUGUGGCGUCGAAGCAGAAGCGGAAGGCGGCGGGGGAGCGGCGGCGGCGCCUUGCUUGCUUGCUCUAUCUUGUGCUGGCCGAUGGCUCCGGCUCCUCUGCACCUCCGUGCUUGCUUGUGCAAGCUUGUGUUGGCUGAUGGCUCCGGCUAGCUCCUCUGUGCCUGCUUGCAUGUGCUUGCUUGAGUACUUAUCAAGGAAAAACAGGGAGGAAGCACAACUGCAGCUGGACAUCAAUGCCAAGUUUUGAGAAGGGCAAAGAUAUAUAGACAACUGAACUGCCAUCUAUUGCUUAUUUGAAUGCCACCAACUGAAUGUAUUUUCAUUCAUUCGUGUAUUCAUGUGUAUAUAUACAUGCUUAUUUUAAGAGUCAUAUGAAUUAUUUGAAUGCAUUGUGUAUUUUUUUCAUGUAUACAAUAAAAUGGCUACAAAGAUCAAUUAUACACUAGAUCACCAUGAGUUUGUAUAACGAAUGAUGAAUUAAUCACCCUGCAGACAGCUAAAUAGACAGCUCAUUAUACAAGCUGUCUGUUCAGCUGUCUAUUUGUGACAAAAAAAACAGCAGCUGUCUGUACGGUUGUACAUGCCUUUAUGCAUGUAGAGUUCUCUUUUUGUACCGUCUCCAUGUGUAAUCAAAGUUGUAAUAAUGUGGCAGAUUGCUUAGCUUUC
Panicum virgatum (switchgrass) is the source of this 1112-nucleotide long non-coding RNA. RefSeq lists it as uncharacterized. The record is from RefSeq and is a predicted model, not a curated record. Lineage: Eukaryota; Viridiplantae; Streptophyta; Magnoliopsida; Poales; Poaceae. The transcript is spliced from 2 exons.